UACGUAGGCAGCAAGCGUUGUUCGGAGUUACUGGGCGUAAAGGGUGCGCAGGCGGCCGAUUAAGUUUGUCGUGAAAUCUCCCGGCUCAACCGGGAGGGUGCGGCGGAUACUGAUGGGCUGGAGUGCGGGAGAGGAGAGUGGAAUUCCUGGAGUAGCGGUGAAAUGCGUAGAUAUCAGGAGGAACACCGGCGGUGUAGACGGCUCUCUGGACCGUAACUGACGCUGAGGCACGAAAGCGUGGGGAGCAAACAGG
This 253-nucleotide ribosomal RNA is filed under the name uncultured bacterium. RNAcentral describes it as "partial 16S ribosomal RNA". It matches the Rfam family "Bacterial small subunit ribosomal RNA", at positions 524 to 776 of the family's 1533-position model. The record is from RNAcentral.